Molecule: long non-coding RNA, 612 nt
Organism: Mauremys reevesii (Reeves's turtle)
Lineage: Eukaryota; Metazoa; Chordata; Testudines; Geoemydidae
Exons: 4
Source: RefSeq, a predicted model, not a curated record
GGUCACCUGACAGAGGGCAGAAAUCUUAUUUAAGGGAGGAUGCGCUCUAGGCUCUUUCUCUCAGUCUCACUAGCUGACCGUUGCCAGACAACAGAAGAGGGUGGGCGAGAGGCCUUACUUGCCUGAUCCACUAGCUGGCCUGAGGACUCACAAGAAGAGGGUGUUGCUUUGAAACACCUUUCAGAGCUGGAUGAAGAAGGUGCCAUAUGAACAGACAUCCUGGAAUGAAAAGAGAUGAAGGACACCUGAAAUUCUGACACAGGAGGAGGAGGACCACAGUUAUGAUGGUAGAGCUCUUGAAGAUCAUGAUGGGGAUGAAGACAGGGCCAAAAGGAUACAAAAUAACAGUGACGUGAACGGACGAAAAAAGAAAGAAACGAUGACAUCUCCGGCCUUUAAUUUUUCCAUAUGAAAGGUGUAACCACAACAAAAUAGAGAGGAAAAAAAUCCACCCCCAACAAGCAAAGAUGGAACACACAAUGGAAAAAAUACUUAAGAAAAUAGGAUCAAACACCAGCUCUAGUUUUUACCACAAAGAGCCAAGCUGAUUUUUCAUAAAAUAAAAAGUCCCUGAAUUGAGAAAUAUGUCUCUCUCUUAGAUUGGAUUGUGCA